UCCGGUUUGUCACCGGCAGUCUCCUUAGAGUUCCCGCCAUUACGCGCUGGCAACUAAGGACAAGGGUUGCGCUCGUUACGGGACUUAACCCAACAUCUCACGACAUUCCGGUGCAUGUCAAGCCCUGGUAUGGUUCUUCGCGUUGCGUCGAAUUAAACCACAUGCUCCGCUGCUUGUGCGGGCCCCCGUCAAUUCCUUUGAGUUUUAGCCUUGCGGCCGUACUCCCCAGGCGGGGUGCUUAAUGCGUUAGCUUCGGCACGGGCGGAGUCGACACCGCCCACACCUAGCACCCAUCGUUUACGGCGUGGACUAC
This 313-nucleotide unclassified non-coding RNA is filed under the name uncultured Gaiellales bacterium. Its description in RNAcentral is "contains 16S-23S intergenic spacer region". The record is from RNAcentral. Lineage: Bacteria; Bacillati; Actinomycetota; Thermoleophilia; Gaiellales.